UCCCAGUGAAGAAACAUUCAUGUCUUAUUCCCUGUCCUAGUCCCAUAGCCUGUAAAGGUGAACCCACUGGGGUUGGCUGGGGGAGAAGAGGAAAGUUCAUUCCAGAAGGAACUGUCUGAGGGAU
Molecule: small nucleolar RNA, 124 nt
Organism: Bos indicus x Bos taurus (hybrid cattle)
Lineage: Eukaryota; Metazoa; Chordata; Mammalia; Artiodactyla; Bovidae
Gene: SNORD22
Rfam family: Small nucleolar RNA SNORD22
About the family: U22 is a member of the C/D class of snoRNA which contain the C (UGAUGA) and D (CUGA) box motifs. U22 is encoded within the U22 snoRNA host gene (UHG) in mammals and has also been identified in Xenopus. U22 is thought to as a 2'-O-ribose methylation guide for ribosomal RNA.
Source: Ensembl